Non-coding RNA from Triticum aestivum (bread wheat), 115 nucleotides. The record is from Rfam. Lineage: Eukaryota; Viridiplantae; Streptophyta; Magnoliopsida; Poales; Poaceae.
CAAGUACUCCCUCCGUCCGGAAUUACUUGUCAUCAAAAUGGCUGUGUCUAGAACUAAAAUACAUCUAGAUACAUCCAUUUCAAUGACAAGUACUUUCGGACGGAGGGAGUACAAG